This 374-nucleotide ribosomal RNA is filed under the name uncultured organism. RNAcentral's name for it is "partial 16S ribosomal RNA". It matches the Rfam family "Bacterial small subunit ribosomal RNA", at positions 527 to 896 of the family's 1533-position model. The record is from RNAcentral.
GUAGGUGGCAAGCGUUGUCCGGAAUUAUUGGGCGUAAAGCGCGCGCAGGUGGGUCCUUUAAGUCUGAUGUGAAAGCCCACGGGCUCAACCGUGGAGGGUCAUUGGAAACUGGGGGACUUGAGUACAGAAGAGGAAAGCGGAAUUCCAAGUGUAGCGGUGAAAUGCGUAGAGAUUUGGAGGAACACCAGUGGCGAAGGCGGCUUUCUGGUCUGUAACUGACGCUGAGGCGCGAAAGCGUGGGGAGCAAACAGGAUUAGAUACCCUGGUAGUCCACGCCGUAAACGAUGAGUGCUAAGUGUUAGGGGGUUUCCGCCCCUUAGUGCUGCAGCUAACGCAUUAAGCACUCCGCCUGGGGAGUACGGCCGCAAAGGCUG